Molecule: ribosomal RNA, 1302 nt
Filed under: uncultured bacterium
Lineage: Bacteria
Description: bacterial SSU rRNA
Rfam family: Bacterial small subunit ribosomal RNA
Source: RNAcentral
GAACGAACGCUGGCGGCAGGCCUAACACAUGCAAGUCGAGCGCCCCGCAAGGGGAGCGGCGGACGGGUGAGUAACGCGUGGGAACGUGCCCCUUUCUACGGAAUAGCCUCGGGAAACUGGGAGUAAUACCGUAUAAGCCCUACGGGGGAAAGAUUUAUCGGGAAGGGAUCGGCCCGCGUUGGAUUAGGUAGUUGGUGGGGUAAUGGCCUACCAAGCCGACGAUCCAUAGCUGGUUUGAGAGGAUGAUCAGCCACACUGGGACUGAGACACGGCCCAGACUCCUACGGGAGGCAGCAGUGGGGAAUCUUAGACAAUGGGCGCAAGCCUGAUCUAGCCAUGCCGCGUGAGCGAUGAAGGCCUUAGGGUUGUAAAGCUCUUUCAGGGGGGAAGAUAAUGACUGUACCCCCAGAAGAAGCCCCGGCUAACUCCGUGCCAGCAGCCGCGGUAAUACGGAGGAUGCAAGCGUUAUCCGGAUUUAUUGGGUUUAAAGGGUGCGUAGGCGGUUGGAUAAGUCAGCGGUGAAAGUUUUCUGCUUAACAGGAAAAAUGCCAUUGAUACUGUCUGGCUAGAAUAUGGUUGCUGUGAGUGGAAUGUGUGGUGUAGCGGUGAAAUGCUUAGAUAUCACACAGAAUAUCGAUUGCGAAGGCAGCUCACAAAGCCAUUAUUGACGCUGAGGCACGAAAGUGUGGGGAUCAAACAGGAUUAGAUACCCUGGUAGUCCACACUGUAAACGAUGAUAACUCGCUGUCGGCGAUACACAGUCGGUGGCCAAGCGAAAGCGAUAAGUUAUCCACCUGGGGAGUACGACCGCAAGGUUGAAACUCAAAGGAAUUGACGGGGGCCCGCACAAGCGGAGGAACAUGUGGUUUAAUUCGAUGAUACGCGAGGAACCUUACCCGGGCUCGAACGGCUUUAGAAUAUAUCAGAGAUGGUAUAGCCAGCAAUGGCUGAAGUCGAGGUGCUGCAUGGUUGUCGUCAGCUCGUGCCGUGAGGUGUCGGCUUAAGUGCCAUAACGAGCGCAACCCUUGUCGUUAGUUACCAUCAGGUCAUGCUGGGGACUCUAACGAGACUGCCACCGUAAGGUGUGAGGAAGGGGGGGAUGACGUCAAAUCAGCACGGCCCUUACGUCCGGGGCGACACACGUGUUACAAUGGUAGGUACAGAGGGCAGCUACCCAGUGAUGGGAUGCGAAUCUCUAAAGCCUAUCUCAGUUCGGAUUGGAGUCUGCAACUCGACUCCAUGAAGUUGGAUUCGCUAGUAAUCGCGCAUCAGCCAUGGCGCGGUGAAUACGUUCCCGGGCCU